RNAcentral lists this ribosomal RNA (392 nucleotides) under uncultured bacterium. Its description in RNAcentral is "partial 16S ribosomal RNA". It matches the Rfam family "Bacterial small subunit ribosomal RNA", at positions 523 to 918 of the family's 1533-position model. The record is from RNAcentral.
AUACGUAGGUGGCAAGCGUUAUCCGGAAUUAUUGGGCGUAAAGAGGGAGCAGGCGGCAGCAAGGGUCUGUGGUGAAAGCCUGAAGCUUAACUUCAGUAAGCCAUAGAAACCAGGCAGCUAGAGUGCAGGAGAGGAUCGUGGAAUUCCAUGUGUAGCGGUGAAAUGCGUAGAUAUAUGGAGGAACACCAGUGGCGAAGGCGACGAUCUGGCCUGCAACUGACGCUCAGUCCCGAAAGCGUGGGGAGCAAAUAGGUUUAGAUACCCUAGUAGUCCACGCCGUAAACGAUGAGUACUAAGUGUUGGAUGUCAAAGUUCAGUGCUGCAGUUAACGCAAUAAGUACUCCGCCUGAGUAGUACGUUCGCAAGAAUGAAACUCAAAGGAAUUGACGGGG